RNAcentral lists this unclassified non-coding RNA (777 nucleotides) under Zea mays. RNAcentral describes it as "misc RNA Zm00001eb016380". The record is from RNAcentral. Lineage: Eukaryota; Viridiplantae; Streptophyta; Magnoliopsida; Poales; Poaceae.
AUAUGUGAAGAACACACUCAAACCCUGUCCAUUGGAACGCUACCCUGGCCUGAAUACUAAAAGGGCGCCUCUGUACCGCUACCACGUCGGUCGAACAAUAGCAGCAUCAAUUAAUGCAUCAUAUCAGUCAGUCGUUGGCCUCCACGUCGUCGUCGUCCUUCUUGACGGGCUGGAACCGGGCGUGCUGGUACAGGACGGAGUGCAGCUCGACGGGGGUGGCGGACAGGGACUUGAUGAUGCUCCCGAACCCGUGGCGCGGCGACGACAGCGGCCCGCCCGGCGGCGGCUUGGGCAGGCUCUGCCCCUUGUGCAGGCGCAGGCGGCCGCGCUGCGCCAUCUCCACCUGCUGCCCCAUCAGGUGCGUCAGCCCUUCCUCCUCCUCCUCGUCGUCGCCGUCGUCCCCCGACGCAGCAGCGGCCGCCUCCUCGUCGUCGUCCUUGCUCGCCGGCGCCUUCCGGUACGCCAGAUCAGGAAAUGGAGAGGGUGUGAAGCAACGCGGACGCUGUACGCACCCCGAUGAAGUAGUCCUUGACGAGCAGGGAGUAGAUGCUCCAGACGCCGCCGUUGAGGAAGAGGAAGAAGGAGAGGGAGAAGGGCAUGUACUCCACGCUCCGGGUCUUCACCACCGUCCGCUGCAUGCAUGGAGUUUGAUGUAUGUAUCACCCCAGAUUACUAGUGCUCUAUUGUAAAUGUCAGUUGCUGGUCAUAUAUAUUUUUAUACCAACUAGAAUUAAUCUGUGGUACAUAGACAAUAUAUAUAUAAUGCAUUAUUUUAAG